AAUGAACGUUGGCGGCGUGGAUUAGGCAUGCAAGUCGAGCGAUAACCGUAGCAAUACGGCGAAAGCGGCGAAAGGGAGAGGAACACGCGGGUACCUACCCUCGGAUUCAGGAUAGCCAUGGGAAACUACGGGUAAUACUGAAUAGCGUCUCCGGACCAAAGGUGUGCUUCCGUCCGGGGAGGGGCCCACGUCCUAUUAGCUAGUUGGCGAGGUAACGGCUCACCAAGGCGAAGAUGGGUACGGGGUGUGAGAGCAUGCCCCCGCUCACUGGGACUGAGACACUGCCCAGACACCUACGGGUGGCUGCAGUCGAGAAUCUUCGGCAAUGGGCGCAAGCCUGACCGAGCGACGCCGCGUGCGAGAUGAAGGCCUUCGGGUUGUAAAUCGCUGUCGUAGGGGAGGAAAUGCCGGUGGGUUCUCCCAUCGGUUUGACCUAUCCUAGGAGGAAGGACGGGCUAAGGGAACGCCAGCCGCCGCAGUAA
This 482-nucleotide ribosomal RNA is filed under the name uncultured bacterium. RNAcentral describes it as "partial 16S ribosomal RNA". It matches the Rfam family "Bacterial small subunit ribosomal RNA", at positions 29 to 523 of the family's 1533-position model. The record is from RNAcentral.